This 477-nucleotide ribosomal RNA is filed under the name uncultured bacterium. Its description in RNAcentral is "bacterial SSU rRNA". It matches the Rfam family "Bacterial small subunit ribosomal RNA", at positions 30 to 507 of the family's 1533-position model. The record is from RNAcentral.
AUUGAACGCUGGCGGCAUGCCUUACACAUGCAAGUCGAACGGUAACAGGUUAAGCUGACGAGUGGCGAACGGGUGAGUAAUAUAUCGGAACGUGCCCAAUCGUGGGGGAUAACGGAGCGAAAGCUUUGCUAAUACCGCAUACGAUCUACGGAUGAAAGCAGGGGACCGCAAGGCCUUGCGCGGACGGAGCGGCCGAUGGCAGAUUAGGUAGUUGGUGGGAUAAAAGCUUACCAAGCCGACGAUCUGUAGCUGGUCUGAGAGGACGACCAGCCACACUGGGACUGAGACACGGCCCAGACUCCUACGGGAGGCAGCAGUGGGGAAUUUUGGACAAUGGGCGCAAGCCUGAUCCAGCCAUGCCGCGUGAGUGAAGAAGGCCCUCGGGUUGUAAAGCUCUUUUGUCCGGAAAGAAAAGCGCCGGGUUAAUACCCUGGUGUCCUGACGGUACCGGAAGAAUAAGCACCGGCUAACUUCGUG